GAGGGAAAGGCGAAAAGAACCCCGGCGAGGGGAGUGAAAAAGAACCUGAAACCGUGUACGUACAAGCAGUAGGAGCCUCUUUAUGGGGUGACUGCGUACCUUUUGUAUAAUGGGUCAGCGACUUAUAUUCUGUAGCAAGGUUAACCGUAUAGGGGAGCCGUAGGGAAACCGAGUCUUAACUGGGCGAAUGAGUUGCAGGGUAUAGACCCGAAACCCGGUGAUCUAUCCAUGGGCAGGUUGAAGGUUGGGUAACACUAACUGGAGGACCGAACCGACUAAUGUUGAAAAAUUAGCGGAUGACUUGUGGAUGGGGGUGAAAGGCCAAUCAAACCGGGAGAUAGCUGGUUCUCCCCGAAAGCUAUUUAGGUAGCGCCUCGUGAAUUCAUCUUCGGGGGUAGAGCACUGUUUCGACUAGGGGGUCAUCCCGACUUACCAACUCGAUGCAAACUGCGAAUACCG
RNAcentral lists this ribosomal RNA (459 nucleotides) under Proteus mirabilis. Its description in RNAcentral is "partial 23S ribosomal RNA". It matches the Rfam family "Bacterial large subunit ribosomal RNA", at positions 505 to 965 of the family's 2925-position model. Lineage: Bacteria; Pseudomonadati; Pseudomonadota; Gammaproteobacteria; Enterobacterales; Morganellaceae. The record is from RNAcentral.